UACAGAGGCCCCAAGCGUUACUGAGAAUCACUGGGUUUAAAGGGUGCGUAGGUGGCGCGUUAAGUCCGUUGUGAAAUCCCGGGGCUCAACCUCGGAACUGCCUUUGAUACUGCGAAUCUUGAGUCCGAUAGAGGUGGGUGGAAUUCCUAGUGUAGAGGUGAAAUUCGUAGAUAUUAGGAAGAACACCAGUGGCGAAGGCGGCCCACUGGAUCGGUACUGACGCUGAGGUGCGAAAGCGUGGGGAGCAAACAGG
Molecule: ribosomal RNA, 253 nt
Filed under: uncultured bacterium
Lineage: Bacteria
Description: partial 16S ribosomal RNA
Rfam family: Bacterial small subunit ribosomal RNA
Source: RNAcentral